UGGGAUUAUAGCUCAGUGGUAGAGCACUUGCCUAGCAUGUGUGAAGCACUGGGUUCAAUUCUCAGUACUAG
This 71-nucleotide transfer RNA is filed under the name Marmota monax (woodchuck). Its description in RNAcentral is "tRNA.Ala". The stretch from base 7 to 67 matches the Rfam family "tRNA", at positions 6 to 65 of the family's 71-position model. From Rfam's summary of the family: Transfer RNA (tRNA) molecules are approximately 80 nucleotides in length. Their secondary structure includes four short double-helical elements and three loops (D, anti-codon, and T loops). Lineage: Eukaryota; Metazoa; Chordata; Mammalia; Rodentia; Sciuridae. The record is from RNAcentral.